Molecule: ribosomal RNA, 253 nt
Filed under: uncultured bacterium
Lineage: Bacteria
Description: partial 16S ribosomal RNA
Rfam family: Bacterial small subunit ribosomal RNA
Source: RNAcentral
UACAGGGGGGGCAAGCGUUGUUCGGAAUUACUGGGCGUAAAGGGCCCGUAGGCGGCCAACUAAGUCCGACGUGAAAUCCCAAGGCUUAACCUUGGAACUGCGUCGGAUACUGGAUGGCUUGAAUUCGGGAGAGGGAUGCAGAAUUCCAGGUGUAGCGGUGAAAUGCGUAGAUAUCUGGAGGAACACCGGUGGCGAAGGCGGCAUCCUGGACCGGCAUUGACGCUAAAGCGCGAAAGCCAGGGGAGCAAACGGG